GACGAACGCUGGCGGCGUGCUUAACACAUGCAAGUCGAACGGAAAGGCCCUGCUUUUGUGGCGUGCUCGAGUGGCGAACGGGUGAGUAACACGUGAGUAACCUGCCCUUGACUUUGGGAUAUCUUCAGGAAACUGCGGCUAAUACCGGAUAGGAGCUCCUGCUGCACGGUGGGGGUAGGAAAGUUUCGGUGGUUGUGGAAGGACUCGCGGCUCAUCGGCUUGUUGGUGGGGUAGGGGCGUACCAAGGCUUCGAUGGCUACCCGGCCUAGGAAGGUUGACGGCCACAAUGGGACUGAGAGACGCCACAGUAUCCACAGUUAGGCAGCAGUGGGGACUCUUGCGCAAUAGCCGGAAGCCCGAUGCACCACUGCUGCGAGCGGGAUGACCGCCUUCGGGUUGUAAACCGCUUUGGCCUGUGACGAAACGGGCGUGACGGUAAUUGAUAAGAAAGCACCGGCUAACUACGUG
This 468-nucleotide ribosomal RNA is filed under the name uncultured bacterium. RNAcentral describes it as "partial 16S ribosomal RNA". It matches the Rfam family "Bacterial small subunit ribosomal RNA", at positions 28 to 507 of the family's 1533-position model. The record is from RNAcentral.